UACUAAUAGAAAUAAUUAUUAGCUCAACCUGCUCAAUGACAUCAAUAGCUGCAGAUUCAUCUGUACUAAGGUAGCAUAAUCACUCGUCUUUUAAUUUAAGACUAGAAUGAAAGGUUCAACAUUUAAAUUUCUAUCUCAUAACUAAAUAAAUAACUUUUUUUAAAUAUAAAAAAAUAUUUAUUAAAAAGAAAGACAACAAGACCCUAUUGAACUUAACUACAGUUUUACUGGGGCAGUAAAUAAAUUAAAAUUUUAAUUCCUACUUAAACAAAUUGACCAAAUAUAAUUUAACACUUAAUCAAGCUACCAUAGGGAUAACAGUGUAAUUAUUUUUCAAAGUUCUUAUUUUAAAAAUAGAUUACAACCUCGAUGUUGAAUUAUAACCUAAUAAAUGCAACCAUUUAUAAAGGAAGUCUGUUCGACUUUUAAAAAAUAACA
RNAcentral lists this ribosomal RNA (438 nucleotides) under Psammorygma sp. MR726-MR727. RNAcentral describes it as "partial 16S ribosomal RNA". Lineage: Eukaryota; Metazoa; Arthropoda; Arachnida; Araneae; Zodariidae. The record is from RNAcentral.